AGCCACAUCAUGUUGAAACACCAGUUCUCAUAUGAACACCAAAAUUAAGCAGCAUUAAGCUUGAUCAGUACCUAGUAGGGUGACCAACUGCGAAUACCAGGUGCUGUU
Molecule: non-coding RNA, 108 nt
Organism: Acanthosepion pharaonis
Lineage: Eukaryota; Metazoa; Mollusca; Cephalopoda; Sepiida; Sepiidae
Source: the annotation of a GenBank genome assembly